Molecule: ribosomal RNA, 428 nt
Filed under: Chloroflexota bacterium
Lineage: Bacteria; Bacillati; Chloroflexota
Description: Chloroflexi bacterium partial 16S ribosomal RNA
Rfam family: Bacterial small subunit ribosomal RNA
Source: RNAcentral
UGGGAAUAUUGCACAAUGGGCGCAAGCCUGAUGCAGCCAUGCCGCGUGUAUGAAGAAGGCCUUCGGGUUGUAAAGUACUUUCAGCGGGGAGGAAGGGAGUAAAGUUAAUACCUUUGCUCAUUGACGUUACCCGCAGAAGAAGCACCGGCUAACUCCGUGCCAGCAGCCGCGGUAAUACGGAGGGUGCAAGCGUUAAUCGGAAUUACUGGGCGUAAAGCGCACGCAGGCGGUUUGUUAAGUCAGAUGUGAAAUCCCCGGGCUCAACCUGGGAACUGCAUCUGAUACUGGCAAGCUUGAGUCUCGUAGAGGGGGGUAGAAUUCCAGGUGUAGCGGUGAAAUGCGUAGAGAUCUGGAGGAAUACCGGUGGCGAAGGCGGCCCCCUGGACGAAGACUGACGCUCAGGUGCGAAAGCGUGGGGAGCAAACAGG